UGAGGAAUAUUCGGCAAUGGGGGCAACCCUGACCGAGCAACGCCGCGUGGAGGAUGACGGUUUUUGGAUUGUAAACUCCUUUUCUCAGGGAAGAGUGAGGACGGUACCUGAGGAAUAAGUCACGGCUAACUACGUGCCAGCAGCCGCGGUAAUACGUAGGUGGCAAGCGUUAUCCGGAAUUACUGGGCGUAAAGCGCACGCAGGUGGCUUGCUAAGAUUGACGUGAAACCUUCUGGCUUAACUGGAAGACGUCGUUGAUGACUGGCAGGCUUGAGACGAGGAGAGGGGUGCAGAAUUCCCGGUGUAGUGGUGGAAUGCGUAGAUAUCGGGAGGAAUACCAGUGGCGAAAGCGGCACCCUGGCCUUAGUCUGACGCUCAGGCGCGAAAGCGUGGGGAGCGAACGG
RNAcentral lists this ribosomal RNA (404 nucleotides) under uncultured bacterium. Its description in RNAcentral is "bacterial SSU rRNA". It matches the Rfam family "Bacterial small subunit ribosomal RNA", at positions 355 to 775 of the family's 1533-position model. The record is from RNAcentral.